RNAcentral lists this ribosomal RNA (478 nucleotides) under uncultured bacterium. RNAcentral describes it as "partial 16S ribosomal RNA". It matches the Rfam family "Bacterial small subunit ribosomal RNA", at positions 28 to 523 of the family's 1533-position model. The record is from RNAcentral.
GACGAACGCUGGCGGCGUGCUUAACACAUGCAAGUCGAACGGUAAGGCCCUUCGGGGUACACGAGUGGCGAACGGGUGAGUAACACGUGGGUGAUCUGCCCUGCACUUCGGGAUAAGCCUGGGAAACUGGGUCUAAUACCGGAUAGGACCACUGCCUGCAUGGGUGGUGGUGGAAAGCUUUUGCGGUGUGGGAUGGGCCCGCGGCCUAUCAGCUUGUUGGUGGGGUGAUGGCCUACCAAGGGGACGACGGGUAGCCGGCCUGAGAGGGUGACCGGCAACACUGGGACUGAGAUACGGCCCAGACUCCUACGGGAGGCAGCAGUGGGGAAUAUUGCACAAUGGGCGCAAGCCUGAUGCAGCGACGCCGCGUGAGGGAUGACGGCCUUCGGGUUGUAAACCUCUUUCAGCACCGACGAAGCGCAAGUGACGGUAGGUGCAGAAGAAGGACCGGCCAACUACGUGCCAGCCGCCGCAGUAA